This 31-nucleotide non-coding RNA is filed under the name Rattus norvegicus (Norway rat). Lineage: Eukaryota; Metazoa; Chordata; Mammalia; Rodentia; Muridae. The record is from RNAcentral.
UAAGGUGAAAGAGGGGAGAGCCCUUAAUUGA